CCAAUAGCGUAUAUUAAAGUUGUUGCAGUUAAAAAGCUCGUAGUUGAAUUUCGGGGUUAGCAGGUCGGUCGUGCCUUUGGUAUGAACUGGUCUCGCUGAUCCCUCCCUCUUGACGAACUGUGAUGCCAUUAAUUUGGUGUCGCAGGGAAUCAGGACUGUUACUUUGAAAAAAUUAGAGUGUUUAAAGCAGGCUUUCGCUUGAAUACAUUAGCAUGGAAUAAUGAAAUAUGACGUUUGAUCCUAUUUUGUUGGUUUCUAGGAUUGACGUAAUGAUUAAUAGGGAUAGUUGGGGGCAUUAGUAUUCAAUUGUCAGAGGUGAAAUUCUUGGAUUUAUUGAAGACUAACUACUGCGAAAGCAUUUGCCAAGGAUGUUUUCAUUAAUCGAGAACGAAAGUUAGGGGAUCGAAGACGAUCAGAUACCGUCGUAGUCUUAACCAUAAACUAUGCCGACUAGGGAUCGGAUGAUGUUAAUUUUUUAAUGACUCAUUCGGCGCCUUACG
This 500-nucleotide ribosomal RNA is filed under the name uncultured Glomeromycotina. RNAcentral describes it as "partial small subunit ribosomal RNA". It matches the Rfam family "Eukaryotic small subunit ribosomal RNA", at positions 591 to 1092 of the family's 1831-position model. Lineage: Eukaryota; Fungi; Glomeromycota. The record is from RNAcentral.